Molecule: microRNA precursor, 87 nt
Filed under: Python bivittatus (Burmese python)
Lineage: Eukaryota; Metazoa; Chordata; Lepidosauria; Squamata; Pythonidae
Description: microRNA pbv-mir-338 precursor
Gene: pbv-mir-338
Rfam family: mir-338 microRNA precursor family (bases 10-78)
Source: miRBase by way of RNAcentral
UGUUCCUCCCCGUCAACAAUAUCCUGGUGCUGAGUGAGUGGCACUCAGAGACUCCAGCAUCAGUGAUUUUGUUGAAGAGGGGGUGCU